This 622-nucleotide ribosomal RNA is filed under the name uncultured bacterium. RNAcentral describes it as "bacterial SSU rRNA". The stretch from base 1 to 540 matches the Rfam family "Bacterial small subunit ribosomal RNA", at positions 338 to 873 of the family's 1533-position model. The record is from RNAcentral.
CCUACGGGAGGCAGCAGUGGGGAAUUUUGGACAAUGGAGGCAACCCUGAUCCAGCAAUGCCGCGUGAGUGAAGAAGGCCUUCGGGUUGUAAAGCUCUUUUGUCAGGGAAGAAACGGUGUUUCCUAAUACGGAAUGCUAAUGACGGUACCUGAAGAAUAAGCACCGGCUAACUACGUGCCAGCAGCCGCGGUAAUACGUAGGGUGCAAGCGUUAAUCGGAAUUACUGGGCGUAAAGCGUGCGCAGGCGGUUUUAUAAGUCUGAUGUGAAAUCCCCGGGCUCAACCUGGGAACUGCAUUGGAGACUGUAAGGCUAGAGUGUGUCAGAGGGGGGUAGAAUUCCACGUGUAGCAGUGAAAUGCGUAGAUAUGUGGAGGAAUACCGAUGGCGAAGGCAGCCCCCUGGGAUAACACUGACGCUCAUGCACGAAAGCGUGGGGAGCAAACAGGAUUAGAUACCCUGGUAGUCCACGCCCUAAACGAUGUCUACUAGUUGUCGGGUCUUAAUUGACUUGGUAACGCAGCUACGCGUGAGUAGACCGCCGUGGGAGGUACGGUCGCGAGAGUAAACGUAACAAGAAGUAGACGGCGUGAGACGUGCCGACGGACGACGACGAGGGAGGAGG